Molecule: ribosomal RNA, 663 nt
Filed under: uncultured Suillus
Lineage: Eukaryota; Fungi; Basidiomycota; Agaricomycetes; Boletales; Suillaceae
Description: eukaryotic LSU rRNA
Rfam family: 5.8S ribosomal RNA (bases 230-384)
Source: RNAcentral
GUGACCUGCGGAAGGUCAUUAAUGAAAUUAUAAUCCGGCGAGGGGAAAGGCGGAGAGUUGUAGCUGGCCUCUAGGGGCAUGUGCACGCUCUCUUCCGGACCUUUCGCCGUAUGGGCGCGGGGCGACCCGCGUCUUCAUAUACCUCUUCGUGUAGAAAGUCUUUGAAUGUUUUACCAUCAUCGAGUCGCGACUUCUAGGAGACGCGAUUCUUUGAGAAAAAAGUUAUUACAACUUUCAGCAACGGAUCUCUUGGCUCUCGCAUCGAUGAAGAACGCAGCGAAUCGCGAUAUGUAAUGUGAAUUGCAGAUCUACAGUGAAUCAUCGAAUCUUUGAACGCACCUUGCGCUCCUCGGUGUUCCGAGGAGCAUGCCUGUUUGAGUGUCAGUAAAUUCUCAACCCCUCUCGAUUUGCUUCGAGCGGGUGCUUGGAUGUUGGGGGCUGCCGGAGACACUGGAUUCGUCCAGGACUCGGGCUCCUCUUAAAUGAAUCGGCUCGCGGUCGACUUUCGACUUUGCAUGACAAGGCCUUUGGCGUGAUAAUGAUCGCCGUUCGCCGAAGUGCAAGACAGAAUGGUCCCGUGCCUCUAAUGCGUCGACGCCUCUAGGGGCGUCUUCCUCAUUGACGUUUGACCUCAAAUCAGGUAGGACUACCCGCUGAACUUAA